AAUGUCCUAAGGAGACAGCCACCAACCCCAUCCCUGGACCUAGCAGAGAUAAGGAGCUAGGCAGCCAUCUGGAAGCAAGAGGCUUACCAUGGCCUAGGACAGGGAGCUGACCAAAGCCAAAGGACAAGGCAGAACCCUGGGAGGCACUGACCGUGAGAAGCAAGAGGCAGGAAUGUCAUCUACAGAGAUAACAGAUCCCCCUGCCAGCCUGCUGGAGCAAAGGCCCAGGUGGGGCUUGGUACCACGUGGGCAGGCCAAGACCCUGCGCUGCAUCCUGAGGAAUUCGCAGUACCCCUGGAUGAGCUGGUACCAGCAGGAUCUCCAGCAGCAACUACAGUUUUUGUCCACUCUGAGGAGUCCUGGGGACAAGAAGGAGGUUGUAUCCCUCCCUGGAGCCAGUUAUGUGGCCACACGGGUCAGUGACACUGAACUAAGUCUGCAAGUCACCAAUGUGACCGAGGGCAGAACCCUGUACUGCGCCUGCAGUAAGGACACAGUGGGAAGCCCUGCUUGA
Non-coding RNA from Castor canadensis (American beaver), 514 nucleotides. NCBI's taxonomy places the organism in Eukaryota, Metazoa, Chordata, Mammalia, Rodentia, Castoridae. The record is from the annotation of a RefSeq genome assembly.